AUCAGCUGCCCUCCCAGACCCACCGUUCUAGGGUACAGCAGAACUCAAAGUGUUUGUCAACUUGGACUUCCGCCUGUCCACUAGCUUGCCUUAAGCAGAUUCUGAGGAGCUGCACUCAAGAUUGAUCCCCUAUGUUCUUUUGGUCUCAUAUUCUCUAGCCUUUCUUGUAACAGGCAUACCAGGUCAAAUGAGGGACAUCUGUCCAUUUGCAAACAAGCCAACCUCAUCCCUGAGGUCAGUGAUGAAGUGCUGAGUAACGAACUGGAAAAGCAAAUAAGUAAAGGAGUUAGGAAGGACACUUUCUUAUUCGGAGCUCACUAGAGAAUGUGAUUUUUCCUGAACAACUGCAUACUUCCUAGUAUGCCUUUUGGUAAACUACCCACGUUUCCCACAAUAUGUACCUGAUAUGGAGAGGGAAAAAAGCAAACCAUGGCGGUCUAAGCAGCUUAGAUUUGAUAAAAAUAAUAAGAGUGGUUCCUUCAGUUCAUUUUCCAAACCCUUCUGCCAGAACAAGCUGGUUCUUCUGGGAAGACGGAACUGCCUACGGCCAUAUGCACCCAUCUGUUCUUCUCUGCAAAAAUGUCUUGGCCUUUUCCACACAGAGCCAGUGGGUGGUGGGGGUGACCACUGCAGGUGGACAGGCCAGGUAAGCCUCGGUCAGAUUGCAAGAGCCCCCAUUCUAGAGAGGGUCCUGUCCCAUACCCAGAAGGAAGGAAUGCUGCACAGAGGCCAAGAAGAAUCCAGACAGACAGGCCUUGCCGGGCUUCCCCGCUCAGUCUGUUUGUUUUAGACCAUGCCUUCUUUGUCCAGUCAUAUUUCUACAAGCCUGACCAUACUUUGCUGAACCAAAGCAUGAACAUGGACAGUUUGCUCUAUAUCUUUGGGUCUUCAUCCUGAAGGAUCCUGUGUCACAUAUAAAACUAUGAUCAAAUAAAUUUGUAUGCCUUCCUCCUA
Molecule: long non-coding RNA, 954 nt
Filed under: Homo sapiens (human)
Lineage: Eukaryota; Metazoa; Chordata; Mammalia; Primates; Hominidae
Description: HSALNT0374160
Source: RNAcentral